This 505-nucleotide ribosomal RNA is filed under the name uncultured bacterium. Its description in RNAcentral is "partial 16S ribosomal RNA". It matches the Rfam family "Bacterial small subunit ribosomal RNA", at positions 28 to 507 of the family's 1533-position model. The record is from RNAcentral.
GACGAACGCUGGCGGCGUGCCUAAUACAUGCAAGUAGAACGCACAGUUUAUACCGUAGCUUGCUACACCAUAGACUGUGAGUUGCGAACGGGUGAGUAACGCGUAGGUAACCUGCCUGGUAGCGGGGGAUAACUAUUGGAAACGAUAGCUAAUACCGCAUAAUAUUAAUUAUUGCAUGAUAAUUAAUUGAAAGGUGCAAUUGCACCACUACCAGAUGGACCUGCGUUGUAUUAGCUAGUAGGUGAGGUAACGGCUCACCUAGGCGACGAUACAUAGCCGACCUGAGAGGGUGAUCGGCCACACUGGGACUGAGACACGGCCCAGACUCCUACGGGAGGCAGCAGUAGGGAAUCUUCGGCAAUGGACGAAAGUCUGACCGAGCAACGCCGCGCGAGUGAAGAAGGUUUUCGGAUCGUAAAGCUCUGUUGUAAGAGAAGAACGGGUGUGAGAGUGGAAAGUUCACACUGUGACGGUAUCUUACCAGAAAGGGACGGCUAACUACGUG